GCCAUAUCACAUUGAAACACUGUUUCCCAUGCAAUCACCAAAGUUAAGGAGCAUUGAGUUUAGUCAGUACCUAGAUGGGUGAUCGCUUGGCAAUGGCAGGUGCUGUAAU
This is a non-coding RNA of Acanthosepion pharaonis, 109 nucleotides long. The record is from the annotation of a GenBank genome assembly. NCBI's taxonomy places the organism in Eukaryota, Metazoa, Mollusca, Cephalopoda, Sepiida, Sepiidae.